GACGGAGGGUGCAAGCGUUGUUCGGAUUCAUUGGGCGUAAAGGGUGCGUAGGCGGCGCCGUAAGUCAGGUGUGAAAUUUCGGAGCUUAACUCCGAAACUGCAUUUGAUACUGCGGUGCUUGAGGACUGGAGAGGAGACUGGAAUUUACGGUGUAGCAGUGAAAUGCGUAGAGAUCGUAAGGAAGACCAGUGGCGAAGGCGGGUCUCUGGACAGUUCCUGACACUGAGGCACGAAGGCCAGGGGAGCAAACGGG
This 253-nucleotide ribosomal RNA is filed under the name uncultured bacterium. RNAcentral's name for it is "partial 16S ribosomal RNA". It matches the Rfam family "Bacterial small subunit ribosomal RNA", at positions 524 to 776 of the family's 1533-position model. The record is from RNAcentral.